RNAcentral lists this ribosomal RNA (261 nucleotides) under uncultured prokaryote. Its description in RNAcentral is "partial 16S ribosomal RNA". It matches the Rfam family "Bacterial small subunit ribosomal RNA", at positions 524 to 784 of the family's 1533-position model. The record is from RNAcentral.
UACGUAGGGUGCAAGCGUUGUCCGGAAUUAUUGGGCGUAAAGAGCUCGUAGGCGGUUUGUCGCGUCUGCUGUGAAAUCCCGAGGCUCAACCUCGGGCUUGCAGUGGGUACGGGCAGACUAGAGUGCGGUAGGGGAGAUUGGAAUUCCUGGUGUAGCGGUGGAAUGCGCAGAUAUCAGGAGGAACACCGAUGGCGAAGGCAGAUCUCUGGGCCGUAACUGACGCUGAGGAGCGAAAGUGUGGGGAUCAAACAGGAUUAGAUA